Marmota monax (woodchuck) is the source of this 7913-nucleotide long non-coding RNA. RefSeq lists it as uncharacterized. The record is from RefSeq and is a predicted model, not a curated record. Lineage: Eukaryota; Metazoa; Chordata; Mammalia; Rodentia; Sciuridae. The transcript has 5 exons.
GCCCAGACUCCCCCAGGGAGUGAAGACAGAGCUCUGAGCAGAUGUCCCGUCCAGCUUGGCGAGUGGGACCAUGGUGCAGCUUUGUGGAUACUCUGGUUCACCUGGUCUCUAGAAGCCAUUGAAGUUGGAUGACAUCAGCUCCUCGUUGGACGAAGCGUGAAUUUGGAAGACCCCCGGAGGCUGCUGUGGGAGAAAGCGAGACUGAUGGAAGGCAGGCGGGGAAAGGCAGCCAGUGACAUGGGACUAAGUGAGUGGCCCAGUGUGUGGCCAUCGUGGGAUCCCACCUGGGAUGCCCUGCAAGAAGGAUGUUGAUGCCGACAUCUGGUGGAUGUUCUGCCAGUUCCAGAGCACCCACAGAAGACGGCAGAACUCGGGGCACCGGGCACAGUCCUGGGAGUCAGCUGGAAGGAUGGCCCGAGUCUGUGCCUGCUCCUCAUUAGUAACAGUAGCUGCGGCUGCAUGUCUACGACAGACUCACAACAGUGCCUGGAACAGAGUAAAAGUAACAGUAAUCGGCCAUCGUCAUUUGGGAACCAAGGACGUGUGACUCAUCUCAGGGGACAGCAUUGCAUGUCCCCAGGGGCACUUCGAUGAUUUACAAAGAUUUUCAUCAACAUAUGCCACGUGCUGGCGCAGAGCCGGGUCACUAGCUGAGGUCGAGGGUUGUGUGCCCGUGUCUCCCCUCCCCCGCCCCAGCCCUGGCCAGGGCUGGGUGGAGCACAGGCCCUGGGGGAGCGUCCCCAUCCGGCCCCCAGGUCCCACUUGUCAGCUGCCCAGGCCUCCAUGGGAAGAUGGGAUUGGAGAGCCAGCAUGCUGUUCCCCCUUUUUAAUUACUGCUGCCUUAAUUGAGUCACAAGUGGUGUUUGUGUUGCCAUCAAACCCACGAGGACCUCCUUGUUUAUGUGAAUGACUCUCAGUAGUGUGACAGCUCUGAAAUGUGAGAUGUUCUGUUUGUGCCGACUGCAACAGUGGCGGGCUUUGGCUGCAGACUCCCUUCCUAACACGUGGCUGGCCGGGGAGCUAGUGAGAGGCGCUGCUGUUCCCCUUGCAAAGAACGGCAGGAACGGAGACUGGGGCUGUAGAGUCACAGAGCCAAGGGGACUUCCUACCUGCGGCCUGGAAGCCCCUGGAGGUGGUGAGCCGCUCAUUCCCUGGUCCACUCGGCUCACCUCUCCCAGUUGCUGGCUAAGCCUCUGAGCCACAUCUGGAGAGGCAGCUGGAAUGGGAGACGGUGGGAAGGACUGUGACACAGGCAGCCUUCAGUGUCCUUCCCUCUCUGUCCAGCUGAGGGCCAGGGCUUGUGCUGGCAGCCAUAGAGGGGACAAGACGAGUUUCCUAGGGGCUUUGCCCUUGAGCAAUCUGCACUGCAAAUGUCAAGGGCGGCCAUAUCCAACCACUGGGGACCCUCAGAGAAAGCAGAGGCAGGUGAGGUGGUGCGUAGUCCGCAUGCCACCAGGGAAGGGUGGAGUCCAGGAGGGCUUCCAGAAGGAGGAGGGGUCCCAGGAGCAGGCCCUGAGGACAAUGCCAGGUGGAAGGAUGGGAGGAAGAGCAACCAGGGGACAGACCACCUCUCCUGUCCUCAGUGGGUGAAAGACGGCCACCCCUGGCCACUCCCUGCGCUCCACCUCCCUGAGACCCCCACCAGGCACAAGCCUGGAAGGAGGCUGUGUCUGGGGAGCUUCCCACUUAUUUAUUUAUUUUUCAGUUUAUGAAAAGAUAAUUCAGGAGACAUUAUUUCAAUCAGACCCCUACACAGUUUGGGAAUGCUAAUGCUUCCUCUAUUAAAAAGGUGUGGAAUAAUUAGGAUGCUGAUGAAGACUGGGGACGAGCCAUUACCAGAGCUCCCCGCUUUGCCUUCCCGUCCCCUCCGUAUCCCCGAGUGACAAAUUAGCAAGUAGCAGAUUCGGCUGCUAACACUUCGGGCAGCUUAGCUCAAACUGGAAGCCGGGUUUUUAGGAGAACGGAUCAACCUUGGAAUGACUUGGGAUGGCAGAAGGAGCCAGAGGAGGACGAGAGGCCUGUCCCUAUCCAUGUCCCCAAAGCAGAGGAGCCGGCACUGGCCUUGGGGAAAGAGGUCUGGGCUUUGGGGGUUUUGUUUUCUUCCCAGUUCUGGGGAUUGACCCCAGGGCCUGGUGCAGGCUUGGCCAGCGCUCCACCACUGACCUACACCCCAUCCUGAGGUCUGGAUUUUAAUCCUGGGGACUUGGAAAGUGACCUCAGAAUGCCACGACCUCCUCUUGAGACAGGGAAAGGGUGAACUUCAUUGAAUGAGGAGAAGCAAGGGAGGACGAAAAACCUAAAACAACAGUAAUGAAUUUUGGGGGGGAGGUGCCAGGGUUUGAACCCAGGUCCUUGUGCAUGCAAGGCAAGCACUGUACCAACUGAGCUGUAUCCCCAGCCCCAAUAGUAAUGAAUUUUGUCCAAAUACUUUGGAGCCAGGCACUCUUCAGAGGACUUUAUUGACACAAAUUCAUUUAACCUUCAAAACAAUCCCCUGAGUAGGCGUCAUUAUUAUCCCAUUUUAAAGAUGAAGAAACUGAGGCUCAGAGCAGCUAUGUAGCCUGAGAGGUGGUGGAAUAGAGAUUUGAGCUCAGGCAUGAUGAUGAGUGGCCCCCGAUGGUGCCAGAGCCAGAGUUGGAAGGCACUAGGCUCAGCCAGGGACACAGAGUUGGGGAUCCACUUAGGAAGGGCCUUGACAACCAGCUGCUACAGCUGCUAUGGCUGAACUGUGUCUUCCCCAAAGAUGUUGAAGUCCUGUCCUGCCAGGUCCCAUGAAUAGGAUCUUCUUUGAAAAUAGGUGUUUAGGAUAAUAGGGCUGGGGCCUUCAGGGUGGGUUCUGAUCCAACAUGACUGCUUCUCAAUGCACAGGGGGUUGGACAGAGAGAAACACCCAGAGGAAGGAGGAUGUGAAGACAGGGAGAGGGCGGUCUUCAAGCCAAGGCUUCCUGAGGCUACCCGAAGCUAGGAGAGAGGAACAGGGUAGAGUCCCCCUUGGUCCCCAGAAGGGAGCAGCCCUGUCUACACCGUGGUUUCAGAUUGCUGGAUCUGAGACUGUCCGUUCCUGUUGUCCACCCUCAGUUUGUGGUGCUUUUUAUGACAACCCCAGGACUCUAAUAUGACAGGGGGAAGAGAUGGUCUCAGUGGCCGAGGCAAGAGGGAGCCAUUGAGGGUUUCUGAGCAGGGAAAUCACAAGCGAUUGGUACUUUACAAAGAUCACUUUGGUGUCUGGGGUGCUGGAGGGUGGGAUCCAGUUAUCCUCGAGGGUUGGUGUGAGAACUGGUGGGGGGCUGUGCAGGGACAGAGGUGGGCAGGGCGGGAAUCAUGCAAUGCCAACAGGAAAGGGACAGUGGCCCCUUUCAGGGCUGCAAUGAUAAUGAAGUUAAAUCACUUCAUUCACUCAAUCAAUUGCCCCCUUCCAUGGCUCCAUCCCAGGGGAGAUUCACAUGCUCUGAGUUAAUAUCUAAAGAGAAGAAGAAGAAGAAAAAAAACAGAAUUCAAGGAUCAAACAACUUUUUUGAAGAGUGAAGUGUUAUUUCUACCCAGCCAAGACAUCAAAGCCCCUGGAUGGUGAUUUUUAGGUAAUAUUAAAGUGGGAUCUAAAUAAUGUUUGAAUAUUUCUCUGCUUGUCUGGGGGACCACAGUAGUCUCUCCCAGAGUGGGAGUGACAGUGAUGUCCCCAGCCAGGCUCCUCCCCAGGAGGAUCUGACGGGUUUCCAGGAACACAGCACUUGAACAAAUACUGCCUACGUUUCUUUUAGCAUUAACAGCUCAGGCCCUCAAGUUCAUUGUUCUAGGCAUGACACGCAUUUCAGCGGGUUAAACUGGCUAAAAGCCUGACUGACAAUUCAGCUAUGAUCUGAUGUUUUUCUGCACACAACGGCCCUCGUGUCUGGAAGUGUAUCCACAUUGUGGCAAAGUCACCUAUCAAGUGAGUUUCUCAAAGCCAAAUUCCAUUUGCUUGUUGAUCCCUAUUAUUAAGUUAAAAGUCAUCCAUCAAGUGAGUUGCUGGAAAGCAGUAUCUGUUUACUUAUUGACCCCUAUUAUUUCUAAUGAGAUAAAUUUUCCAGUCUACUUGUAAUAGUUGGCAUUUGCCGUGUAACAAAGUGGCUUCAUAUAAUCCUCACUUUGUCAUUGCCCAUGAGUCUGUGGGUCAACCAGGCAAUUUGGCAGUCAGCUAGCUGGUAGGCUGCUGGGGCCUGGGGCCUCGUUCAACUAUUGGCUAGAGUGAGCAGGAAGAACUUGUUUCUCUCCAUGCAGCAGGUUAGACCAGGUUCUCUCCCCUGGUCAACGUCAGGGUCCCCAGGCACACUCUCAAACCUGUGCUGUAGUGAUUUCUGCCAGUGUCUCAUCAGACAAAGCAAAUCAAAGCAAGACUCCACCCCUUGGUGGGGUGGGGAGAAGAUAAUGUCACUCCCCAAAUGAGUAUGCUUUCAGGGAUGGGAGGGAUUCGGGGUUAAUUUUGGAAUCCACCUUUUACUUCUUGUCCUCGUAGAACAUAUAAAGGAGGCUAGUCUACUUUAACAUACUCUUGUGUCAGACACUGUGCUAUAUGUUCUUUAUAAUUUAUAUCUCAUCUAAUCAGAGAAGUUAUGUAACUUUUUCAAGGUCACAUAGCUACCUACCACUGGAGCCAAGAUUCACUCUCAGGAUGUGUAACCCUUUAUCUGAUGCAAUUUUCACCAUUCCUUUAUGUCCACCAAUUUUGUAACUGAAUUUGUCAUUUCUGGGGUUCCUAGUGCACAUUUUCCACUAUGCUCCAGUCAGUUAUUUUCUGUUCUCUUCUCCUCACCGGUAGUGACCCAACCUCCAUUUGUCUAUCUCCCCUACCCAGGAGCUCACUACCUAUCUUUCUGUUGAUGGGUAUUGGGGAUUGAACUCAGGGGCACUCAAUCACUGAGCCACAUCCCCAGCCCUAUUUUGUAUUUUAUUUUGAGACAGGGUCUCACUGAGUUGCUUAGCACCUCGCUUUUUGCUGAGGCUGGCUUUGAACUCACCAUCCUCCUGCCUCAGCCUCCCGAGCCGCCGGUUUUACAGGCGUGCGCCACUGCGCCUGGCUUCUCUACCUAUCUUGACAGCCUACUGCACAGCAGAAUCUAUCCAUCUAUCACAAACUUCUUUUAAGUCAAAAGAGAUCCUAAAAAACCUGGGUGGGAACAAGGGGAACCGACAGGCAAAGUUUAGUUCAAGUUUUCUUUUCUGACCUACAAUUUGAGGUUUAUCUAUUGGAGCUGCCUGGUUUUGUAAUUGUGUUUAUCUUUGUUCUGCAUCAUUUGGAAAUUGCAAUUUGUGUUGGAAUAAAAAAAAAAAACGCAGGAAAAUUUGAUUAACUAGGUGAAUAUUUUUUCCCUAAAGAAAAUGAAGAUAAGGAAAUAAGUGUCAAAGAGACUUAUAAAAUGGGAACGAUGAGAAUGUGAUGAUAAUCACUUCCCUGCACCGGGAGGACCAUUCACAUAUGGUUGUCAGUUAUGUGCUGACUGUGCCCCUUUGGACAGAAGAUGAUGUCCAAGGAACCAUCCAUCCACUCGUCCAUCCAUCCAUCCAUCCACUUAUCCAUCCAUCCAUUCAUCCCCUCAUUCAUUCAUUCAGAGUUUACCAUAGUAAGACUAUAAGAUAAACUGGGGGUAUAAUGAAUUAAUUAGACAAAACCUGUACUCAAGGCUUUCCACAUCUAGUCGGGGAAUGAGGCAGGUGUGUCUAACUGCAGUGGGUGCAGAGAGCCUCAGCCCAGGGCGUGAGCACAACAGGGAAACCAGUUCUGGGUCUCUUCCCUUCAUCUGAUCUGCUGCUGCCACACCAUUCAGGAACUCUUUAGGGCUGUCCUUCCUGGGACCUCUUCCGACAGAAAAGCGCUCCAUGUGAGAUCUCAAAGGUCAAGACCGUCCCUGCACAAAUUCAAAACUCAAAAGAUCCCAAGAUGAGCCGCCCGCAGCCAGCCUCCUGUGAAUGGCAAGAGGCGGCCCGGGUGGUGGAGACGUCAGGAAAAUCGGGACCAGGGUUGGGCACACCACAGGCUUCUUCAACUUCCUCCCCACAGAGGGUUUCAGAUGUUCUCCCAAUAAAAAUUACCACCGGGCAAACACAAAUAAACUUAACGGAUUUAACUGACAGAGUUAAACAAGCAGAAGAUAGGAUUUCUCUUAAUGAGAAUAAACUACUUGCAUAUGAAAAGAUUUGAAACUGAGGAUUCAGUAACUCACCAGAAACUUGGAACAGAGGCACAGAAUUGGGGGAGGAAGGAACCACCAGGCAGGAAAGCUCCAUCUGGCCCCUGGGCACUGCUGAGAGGAGAGGCCGAGGCCGAGGGAGGUGGUGGGACAGGUGCAGCUCGUGGUGGGCCCACGCGGGAUCUCCUCAGCCAAGGGGCUGGGGGUUGAGAAGGGCCGAAUGAAUUACAUCUGUGCUUUGGUUCCCCGUGUGAGUGGAGGUCAGGAGACCCAUAGGAAUGGAAGAGUCACAUCCCAAAGUGGCCUUUGCCACUCUUGAGCUGGGUGAACUUGGGCUCUGGCCUCACCAUUUGGAGCUUCUGACAGUGAAGCCUCACUCUCAGGGUUUGUGUAAGGAUUCUACGAUGCAAUACUCAUGGGCUGUUUAUUCAAUUAACAGAAGUUCCCUUAGAAAUGACUAUGGGCCUGGGACUAUGGCUGGUGCCAGGGAACAGUGGUGGGCAAGACUGACAGGGCCCUGCUAGCACAGGGUUAGGGAGCGUCCAGCGAGUCUUAGGUUCUGAUGUAAUGGUCUGAAUUUUUUGGUUGCAAGCAACAGAAACACAACUUGUAGGGAAAAAAGGAACUGACUGGUGCUGGUGUUUCCGCAUACGGUAAGGUAGGCCACUGAAACAGCAGGGACCGGGGCCUCGGAAUCUGGAACCGAGACUGUCCCUGAGCCCCCGGACUCUCCUCUGCAUCUGUCUUUUUUCUGCGUUAUCGGUCUCUUUCCCUCCUAUGGCAGAGGCCUUCUCUUUAUAGUUGGGACACGGCCACAGCAGCCCCAGCUUAGUAAAUCCCAAGAAAGCACUUCUUUCUCUCAGCAUCUGAUUGUCAGUUCCAGAGAAGUUCCUGCUAGACCCUGCUUGGGCCACCUGCUCCCUUCUUGAACCCAUGAAUCACUGUUGUCAGGACAAUGGAGAAGUAUGAUUGGCCAUGCCUAGGUCAUGUGACCAGUGAUGGAGGUUUACUGUGUGCUGUAAUAAAUGGCUCCACCAGAAACACAUGGAGAGGAAAAGGAGUGUUCCUCAACAGAAGGGGAGCAAGGAACCCAAACUAGCAGAUGUUACCCCAUGAAAGGCACCUCGCCUCUACCUGACAGUCUGAGCCAAUGUCCGGCGGAGAAUGACACUCCACAUUUAUAAUCAGAGAAACUCACUGGCCUGAGAUCCUCACCGUUGGCAGACUGAGAAUUGAAGAGAAUUCUUGGUCACUCAACUUGAUGAAGGUUGAGUGGGUUUAGCUGUGGACAGUGAGAGCCCAGUACACAAAGAACAGCGGCCCGUUAUUCAUUUAACUUCCACGUGCCGUAAAAUUGGUUCAAGUUGUUUUUUAAAUUAAAGGUCAUUUAAUUAAACAAAAAAAAAAACUUUAUACAAAUUAUUGAUACCUAAACACACUUUGGUUUGGAACAUGAAAUAAAAUGAAAUCAUAGGCACAGAGUUGUAUUCAUAAGUGUGCUAAAUCAAAACCUAUACAAUAAUGAGAAACAUUAAAGGGUCAAAUCCAAGUACAAAGGAAGACACUCCUCUGAAUUCCCAUGUUUCAUCAGACAUCAAAAACCACCCAUCUUUUGGUUCUUUUCUUGUACAUUAUUCUGCAUCCACAUUCUCUGCAUCUGAUUGGAUCCGUGGAUUUUAUUUCAUUUUCUGUGUGACAUUCUCCACAGAUAUAUAUCAUUGGCUGCUGCUUUGGGUUCAAUUUCCUUAG